RNAcentral lists this ribosomal RNA (484 nucleotides) under uncultured bacterium. RNAcentral's name for it is "partial 16S ribosomal RNA". It matches the Rfam family "Bacterial small subunit ribosomal RNA", at positions 29 to 523 of the family's 1533-position model. The record is from RNAcentral.
AGUGAACGCUGGCGGCGUGCUUAACACAUGCAAGUCGAACGAGAACGGGUUAUAGCUUGCUAUAAUUGUCAGCUAAGUGGCGCACGGGUGAGUAAUGUAUAGGUAAUAUGCCUCUUACUAAGGGAUAACAAAUGGAAACGUUUGCUAAUACCUUAUACUCCUUAUUAACAUAAGUUAAUAAGGGAAAGAUUUAUUGGUAAGAGAUUAGCCUGUAUUGUAUCAGUUAGUUGGUGGGGUAAUGGCUUACCAAGACUAUGACACAUAGCUGGUUUGAGAGGAUGAUCAGUCACACUGGAACUGAGACACGGUCCAGACUCCUACGGGAGGCAGCAGUGGGGAAUAUUGCACAAUGGACGAAAGUCUGAUACAGCAACGCCGCGUGGAGGAUGACACAUUUCGGUGCGUAAACUCCUUUUAUAUGAGAAGAUAAUGACGGUAUUAUAUGAAUAAGCACCGGCUAACUCCGUGCCAGCCGCCGCAGUAA